ACUCUUCAACUCUAAAACACAACCAACCCAUACUUAAAGCUCCAAAAACUCAAUUCAAACCUAUAAACAAGCCAUAAACUAAUCAACUAAGACUUUUAAGCUUAAUAACACAACAUGCUUUUGAAGAUUCACUAAUUCAAGCAAAAAUGCAAAAAUUCUCCUAGCUUCAAAAAUCAUUAAAGAAGAAAGGAAAAAACAACCUAAACAACAAAAUUCUUUUGCAUGCAACCUACUAGAACUUAGGGUUUGGAGUAAAAAAGGUGAGCCUACCUCUUGUAG
Molecule: unclassified non-coding RNA, 279 nt
Filed under: Hevea brasiliensis (rubber tree)
Lineage: Eukaryota; Viridiplantae; Streptophyta; Magnoliopsida; Malpighiales; Euphorbiaceae
Source: RNAcentral